UACGUAGGGUGCGAGCGUUAAUCGGAAUUACUGGGCGUAAAGGGUGCGCAGGCGGCUUCGCAUGUCAGAUGUGAAAUCCCCGAGCUUAACUUGGGAAUUGCAUUUGAAACUACGAGGCUAGAGUGCGGCAGAGGGAGGUGGAAUUCCACGUGUAGCGGUGAAAUGCGUAGAGAUGUGGAGGAACACCGAUGGCGAAGGCAGCCUCCUGGGCCGACACUGACGCUCAUGCACGAAAGCGUGGGGAGCAAACAGG
RNAcentral lists this ribosomal RNA (253 nucleotides) under uncultured bacterium. RNAcentral describes it as "partial 16S ribosomal RNA". It matches the Rfam family "Bacterial small subunit ribosomal RNA", at positions 524 to 776 of the family's 1533-position model. The record is from RNAcentral.